This 229-nucleotide long non-coding RNA is filed under the name Theobroma cacao (cacao). RNAcentral describes it as "long non-coding RNA (TCAC_LNC003998)". Lineage: Eukaryota; Viridiplantae; Streptophyta; Magnoliopsida; Malvales; Malvaceae. The record is from RNAcentral.
UUGUCAAAGUCAGCUAACUAUGAAAUUUUCCAAGCUUGAAAUGUGAGGAAAUGAGGGUGGUGAGAUUAUAAAAUCCCAAUGAGUAAACAGACACCAUCUAAACUAUCUAAAGGCGAGUAAAUGGAGACGAAUUAAAAUAAGUCAUCAUACUAUAAUUUCAUUACCUUUCAACUCAUUUCAACCAAAUAAACAAAUAGGCUUAUGAUUUCCUGAAAAGCAUGACUCGUGC